GGAGGGGUUCCCGAGUGGCCAAAGGGAGCAGACUGUAAAUCUGCCGGCACUGCCUUCGAUGGUUCGAAUCCGUCUCCCUCCC
This 82-nucleotide transfer RNA is filed under the name Vibrio crassostreae. RNAcentral's name for it is "tRNA-Tyr". It matches the Rfam family "tRNA". From Rfam's summary of the family: Transfer RNA (tRNA) molecules are approximately 80 nucleotides in length. Their secondary structure includes four short double-helical elements and three loops (D, anti-codon, and T loops). Lineage: Bacteria; Pseudomonadati; Pseudomonadota; Gammaproteobacteria; Vibrionales; Vibrionaceae. The record is from RNAcentral.